UUUGAAUUUACUUUUGUGUAUGGGGCUAGACAAUGAUCCAUGUUUCCUCCUUUUUUGUAGCCAUCACCUUGGGCUUUGGAGGCGUGACCGAGACCACCAGCUGCAGGACCAAUACAUCAGUGUUUGGCAGCACCAUCUCAUCGCCCUUCACAUCCAGGGUGUCAGCAGGCCCCACUGGCAGUGGGGGCUUUGGGAGGAGCAUGGCUGCCCCCCACUGCACCUCCACCACUGGGGCAUUCGGCGCUGGGUCAGGAUGGAGUGGGAGAACUGGACUCAAGAACCCUUUCUGGGGAGCGUUGAAUCCAAACUCCUUGGCUGCAGCUGGCCAGAGCACACCCUCUACCUUCCACAUAGCCAGCACGCCUCAGGACACGUCUGGGAUUGCAGUUGAGAUUUGGAAUGGACUCGGUCUGCAGUGCAAGGCACUGUUUUAAGUGCUGACACAGUCUCUGCUUUUGGAGCUGUACGCUGUGGUGAAGAUUUAGAUGUCAUCGCAGACGUUAUCCAUUAACAGCUUAUCCAUUAGCACUGUAACUCAUGACCGGAGGAGCUAUUUAGGUAGUCAGCGGCAGCCUUUCUGACACAACAGCAAACUGAGGCCAUGGCCGCAGUUCCAGAGUUGGGAGCAGGGACCACAGUUGUGUCCAUCACAUCGGCCUUUGGAGCUAUGACCCUGACCACCAGCAGUGGGACCAGUAGCUCAGUCUUUGGCGGCCCACCUCAUCACCCUUCACAUCCAGAGUGUGAGCAGGUCCUGCUGGCAGUGGGGGCUUUCGGAUGAGCAUGGCUGCCCCCCACAGCAGCUCCACCACUGGGACAUUCGGCUUUGGGUCAGGACAGAGUGGGAGAACUGGUCUCAAGAACCUUUUGUGGGGAGGGUUGAAUCAGAACUGCCUGUUUGCAGCUGGCCACAGCACACCCUCUACCUUCCACAUGGCCAGCAUGCCUCAGAACACGUCUGGGAUUGCAGCCACCACAUCGGGCUUUGGAGCUAGGACCCAGAUCACCAGCAGCAGGACCAGUUGCUUAGUGUAUGGCAGUACCACCUCAUCACCCUUCACGUCCGGGGUGCCAGCAGGCCCCACUGGCAGUGGGGGCUUUGGGAUGAUCAUGGCUGCCCCCCACAGCAACUCCACCACCAGGACAUUCCACUUUGCAGCAAGGCGGAGUGGGAAAACUGGUGGUACAGCCCCUUUCAAAGGAGGCUUGAUUUAGAACUCCCUGGGUGCUGCUGGCCAGAGCACACCCUCUGUCUGUCAUGUGGCCAGCACCCCUCAGAACACAUCUGUGUUUGCAGCCACCACCUCGGGUUUUGGAGCUACGACCCACACCACCAGCAGUGGGACCAGUAGUUCAGUGUUUGGGAGCAGCACCUCAUCACCCUUCAUGUCUGGGGUGUCAGCAGGCCCUGUUCACAGUUGGGGCUUUGGGAUGAGCGUGGCUGUCCCCCACAGCAGCUCCACAGCUGGGGAAUUCAACUUUGGGGAGUACAGAGUGGGAGCACUGGUGUCACGGCCCCUUUCUGGGGUGGCUUGAGUAAGAACUACCUGGGUGCAGCUGGCCAGAGCACACCCUUUGCCUUCCACGUGGCCAGCAUGCCUCAGAACACGUCUGUGUUUGCACAUCAGGUUUGGAAUGGGGUCGGUGCCGGAGUCCAGCUCCAGCUGAGGUGUGGGUCACGAAGGAAAGGACAGCGUCAGCGAAUGAGAUGAAUGAGGAGACGAAACACCCAAUUAAAGUUGUAACAUCUCCUGACAUCAAGUGGCAGGGUCUUUAUUUUUGUAUCUUUUUAUGGUUUUCAUAAUGUUGAACAUUUUUUAAAAUUAUGAAUAAAACAUUCCUUUUU
Non-coding RNA from Manis javanica (Malayan pangolin), 1846 nucleotides. The record is from RefSeq and is a predicted model, not a curated record. Lineage: Eukaryota; Metazoa; Chordata; Mammalia; Pholidota; Manidae.